AGCGGCCAUUUUACCGAGCCGAAUGUAAAAGCGUAGGUCACUAUUGACGCCAGGAAGAACAUAGGCGGGCAUUGCCAGGAAAGUUUUGUUUUCGGCUCAGUAAAAUGGCCGCGAGUGGAUUCAAUGACUCAAUAAGCUGAUUAAGGGCAUUACGAGUCCAGAUUUUAUUAUAUACGUCCGUGUGUAAACGGCUAUCAAUGCAUGCAACUCUACGUGCAGUGCAUGCGCAAUGGCCGUGGUUUAAACUGAAAUGACGUCACACUUACGAAUCGGAUAGGUGGAAAAGGCAUGUAACAUGCGCGUACUCCCCGUCCACGAGUGUCGUGCCACCUCAGUAAUGGCCUCUAAAGGUUGACCCCUGAUGGUGCACUUCUGGAACCCUUGUACAGGAAAAACAACUUGCAAAGGUUGAACCUUGGAAUCAUGAACGUGUCUACAGGACAGUCUUCUGAGAUCGCUCUAUUUCUUCUGUACGUGCAGUCGGUUGCCCUGUAGAUGUACAUUGUACUUCCAGUGAUAUUUUUGGAGAGCUACGUCGACUGUGUUGUUACGGGCAUUCACCGCCAUGCUCGGUGAGAAGUUUCUUGGACAAAAUUUGAAAUGGAAGCUUUUUGAGGACAUUUUGAUGACAGUGAACAGCAUGCAAGACACGAAUGUACAAUGUAGACAGUCUUUACAAGGACUUGGGAACGAAGGGGCCGUCCAAAGUUUUCAACAUUUUCACGGUCGCACAAAGGGUGAAAUGAACGAUGAUAAGGGCAACAGAAACCCUGUAACUCCAGAUGAGAUGCACAAAACUCUUGACGAGGACACACAAAGACGUCUUCCAGACGAAGAAUCUGUUUUCAAGAAAGUCUCAACUCCAGCUUAACCAGGAAACACAUCUCUGAAGUAUGAUUAUGCUGAGGUUGGUGGUAGCGUGGCCAUUGCUAUGACCGUCCGUUCUAGGGCAUCUAACGAGGGAUAUGUUGACAGCCAAAACACUAGAAAGGAAAAUAAGAGGACACCAACCAAACAAACUGGAAAACAAUCCGAUAUAAACGGCCUACUUAAACGACCUCCCAGAAUGCAUCUCAAAAGGCACUCCGGUUAGGCUGUUCGCAGAUAAUGCAUUUAAAUAUCGUGAAAUUAGAUCUGAGGAGGAUUGUUCCAUCCUACAAGCUGACUUAGAUGCACUUACUAAAUGGGGAUCUGACUGGCAAAUGGCUUUCACUACCAGCAAAUGUUUCGUCAUGCACUUCACAAAAAGGGACCUCCAAAAAUGUCUCCUUACAUUUUGUGUGGAGAUCAACUCCAGACCACUGAUUGUAACUCGUACCUGAGAAUAAAAUGUAGUAAUAAUCUAAAAUGGGAAAAUCA
Long non-coding RNA from Acanthaster planci (crown-of-thorns starfish), 1359 nucleotides. Lineage: Eukaryota; Metazoa; Echinodermata; Asteroidea; Valvatida; Acanthasteridae. The record is from RefSeq and is a predicted model, not a curated record.